ACCCGUCCCGUUCGUCCCCGGACGUUGCUCUCUACCCCGGGAACGUCGAGACUGGAGCGCCCGAACUGAGCCACCUUCGCGGACCCCGAGAGCGGCGGCGCGACUCACCGCGGAGGCGCCCGGACGCGUCAAGCCCAGCCCAAUAGGAAGCACCUGAUCCACACUCUUUCUAGCCCCAGGGAUGCUCAGGAAAGCAGCCUUUCUUUAGGGCUGUCAUCUGUUCUGGGGAUCUGUUGCUGUUUCUUGGGCCCACAGAAUACACUCCACACCUCGGGACUCCAUAAUAUUGGACAAGGCUGGAAGGCCCAUUUGGCUCCUGCAGCCUCUUAUGCAGGAGGACCUCCUGAGGCUUCGGGCAGGAGCUGGUGCACACCUGGAGGAGAGUGCUGGUGAAUGGCAGUCAUCCUCUUCAGCGGUCCUCCCAGAGCUGUCCUCAGCAUGGCAGCCUCCACAGCCCCUGGGUGUCACCCCCGGUUUCGUGUCUGCCUCGGACUCCAGACCUGCCCCUCCCAGGCUGGCCCAGAUGGAUCCUCUACAGUGACUAACCCAAACCAGCACCAGGCAGGGACCCAAUAAACCUUUGUGAAUGGAGUAAA
This is a long non-coding RNA of Homo sapiens (human), 596 nucleotides long. Ensembl annotates it as DIO3 opposite strand upstream RNA. Its record names the gene DIO3OS. NCBI's taxonomy places the organism in Eukaryota, Metazoa, Chordata, Mammalia, Primates, Hominidae. The record is from Ensembl.